Molecule: long non-coding RNA, 118 nt
Organism: Etheostoma cragini (Arkansas darter)
Lineage: Eukaryota; Metazoa; Chordata; Actinopteri; Perciformes; Percidae
Exons: 3
Source: RefSeq, a predicted model, not a curated record
AACUGCUGGUUACAAGUACGUUUACAGGCACACUAAUACUCCACUAUUAUUCCGAAUAUAUGACCAUAUUCUUAAUUAGAUACAGGUCAUGUAAACAGCAUAUUCCGUUUGGAUAUUC